UAGAUUUUCCCAUAUUUUGUCCUUUUACCUUUAUAAUCUAUUAAACAAAGCCCUCCAUUGAAUUCAACACCUUACCAAAGCAGGUCAAAGCUCUCUUCCCAAUCUUUUUGUAUAACAGAGAGAGGGAGAGAGAGAAGAGAACAGAGUAUUUGUAAAUUUGGAUAAGUACACACAAAUAUUUGGUUUGACACAACAGAGACCAUCAUGCUCAUGCAUGAAUCUAUAUAUCUUAUGUUUUAGUCUAACAAAGAUUUUCAUAAUUUCAAAACCCCAAAAACCAUUCUUUAUAAAUUACCCAUUAAAAUAAUAAAAUCUUACGGAGUUAAAACAAAACCUCCUUCUGCAUAGUUCAUUCCUGACGGCUAAAAAUCAUCUUCCCAGAAAUUUCCCUCACCAUAUACGACAAUUUCAACCUUCAAACAUGGCUGACUUGAUUUCUAGUAUAUUCAAUUUGGAUAUAAAUACAACAGAUUUACAUUACCUCGUUAGCCGUUCUCCAAAUUUGAAAUAUAAACUUCUUUUUUCUUCUGCUGUAGUAGUAGUGCUCUGUUUCACAGUGUUAAUAAAUUAGAACUAAAAAGGAAAAGAAAAGAAAACGAAAAAGAAGAAGAAAAAUGGAAGGAAAGAGAACUGGAAAUGAAGGAAAGAGAUCGACAAAUGAAAGUCGUUACCGAGGGAUAAGGCGACGGCCAUGGGGGAAAUUCGCGGCGGAGAUUCGAGAUCCAUCGAGGAAUGGUGCUCGGUUGUGGUUAGGGACGUUUGAUACGGCGGAAGAAGCAGCGAGGGCGUACGAUCAAGCGGCGUAUGCGUUCAGAGGGCA
Molecule: long non-coding RNA, 820 nt
Filed under: Cucumis sativus (cucumber)
Lineage: Eukaryota; Viridiplantae; Streptophyta; Magnoliopsida; Cucurbitales; Cucurbitaceae
Description: long non-coding RNA (CSAT_LNC002862)
Source: RNAcentral